Molecule: ribosomal RNA, 465 nt
Filed under: uncultured Klebsiella sp.
Lineage: Bacteria; Pseudomonadati; Pseudomonadota; Gammaproteobacteria; Enterobacterales; Enterobacteriaceae
Description: bacterial SSU rRNA
Rfam family: Bacterial small subunit ribosomal RNA
Source: RNAcentral
CCUACGGGAGGCAGCAGUGGGGAAUAUUGCACAAUGGGCGCAAGCCUGAUGCAGCCAUGCCGCGUGUGUGAAGAAGGCCUUCGGGUUGUAAAGCACUUUCAGCGGGGAGGAAGGCGGUGAGGUUAAUAACCUCAUCGAUUGACGUUACCCGCAGAAGAAGCACCGGCUAUCUCCGUGCCAGCAGCCGCGGUAAUACGGAGGGUGCAAGCGUUAAUCGGAAUUACUGGGCGUAAAGCGCACGCAGGCGGUCUGUCAAGUCGGAUGUGAAAUCCCCGGGCUCAGCCUGGGAACUCCAUUCGAAACUGGCAGGCUAGAGUCUUGUAGAGGGGGGUAGAAUUCCAGGUGUAGCGGUGAAAUGCGUAGAGAUCUGGAGGAAUACCGGUGGCGAAGGCGGCCCCCUGGACAAAGACUGACGCUCAGGUGCGAAAGCGUGGGGAGCAAACAGGAUUAGAUACCCUUGUAGUC